Molecule: ribosomal RNA, 286 nt
Filed under: uncultured soil bacterium
Lineage: Bacteria
Description: partial 16S ribosomal RNA
Rfam family: Bacterial small subunit ribosomal RNA
Source: RNAcentral
AGAGUGAACGCUGGCGGUAGGCCUAACACAUGCAAGUCGAACGGCAGCACAGUGGUAGCAAUACCAUGGGUGGCGAGUGGCGGACGGGUGAGGAAUACAUCGGAAUCUACCUUUUCGUGGGGGAUAACGUAGGGAAACUUACGCUAAUACCGCAUACGCCCUUCGGGGGAAAGCCGGGGAUCGCAAGACCUGGACGCGGAUAGAUGAGCCGAUGGUCGGAUUAGCUAGUUGGUGAGGUAAUGGCUCAACCGAAGGCGACGACUCCGUAGCUGGUCUGAGAGGAUGA